GUGACGUUGUUUGGGUCCUUAGAUCCAGCUGCGCCUUAAGCCAGACUUAUCCAAGGAUUUUUCAGAAAGGUUGGGGAGUUGACUCAAAUCCCAUUCGCCAGAAAUUACAGCAGAGAAAGGAGAAAAUAAGCUAUUGAGAAAAGAGGAGCUAUUAGUAAUCUCUACUUGGACACAAUUGGAGGUCUUUUGGGUUAAUCUCACAGCCACUGACAGCCCAGAAGCUUGGACCUCAUCCAGUGAUUCUGUCACACGAUCAUGACUCCCUCUGCUGGCAGAACCUGGUUUUGCAGUGUAAACUCAAAUCCUGAAUUACCUGCUUUGGAAAAUUUGCCGGCUCGGGGAUGACUAAAGAGCUAACUGUGUCUUCUUGGUAUAAUCUCAACCUGACUGUUACUGGGACCAUACUGGAAGAAGAUGCUGGUAUGGGAAUCCCCUGGGAGAGCAGAACUUUCAUUGUUGAAGAAAAUGCAGCAAAGGGAGCUUCUUCCUCUCACCAAGCCAACAGUGGAUGGCCCUGGCCCCUUAUGAGACUGUCAUUCAAAUCAGGACUGCAAAGCAACUGUUCUGCCAUUUCCAUGGCAAGCUCUCCCCGGCAGAGGGGAAAGACCACCAGGGUUGCAGGUUUGGCGUCUGAAGACAGACUAUGCCACUUAAUGGCUGGGUUUCCCUCUCUAGUCACUUAAUCAGCCUGAAGCUUGGAGUCCUCCUUACAAUAUGGGGAUAUUAAUAUUUUCCCCUUUCUUGGGGUUGAUGUGCGGAUCAAGUGAGUAAUAUAUGUGAUAAUACUGUAUUAACUGUAAAUCAUUCUACAAAUGUAAGGGUUUAUUACUGUCA
This 834-nucleotide long non-coding RNA is filed under the name Equus caballus (horse). RNAcentral's name for it is "lncRNA (ENSECAG00000044753.1)". Lineage: Eukaryota; Metazoa; Chordata; Mammalia; Perissodactyla; Equidae. The record is from RNAcentral.